RNAcentral lists this transfer RNA (65 nucleotides) under Cavia porcellus (domestic guinea pig). It matches the Rfam family "tRNA", at positions 1 to 62 of the family's 71-position model. From Rfam's summary of the family: Transfer RNA (tRNA) molecules are approximately 80 nucleotides in length. Their secondary structure includes four short double-helical elements and three loops (D, anti-codon, and T loops). Further hydrogen bonds mediate the characteristic L-shaped molecular structure. tRNAs have two regions of fundamental functional importance: the anti-codon, which is responsible for specific mRNA codon recognition, and the 3' end, to which the tRNAs corresponding amino acid is attached (by aminoacyl-tRNA synthetases). tRNAs cope with the degeneracy of the genetic code in two manners: having more than one tRNA (with a specific anti-codon) for a particular amino acid; and 'wobble' base-pairing, i.e. permitting non-standard base-pairing at the 3rd anti-codon position. The record is from Rfam by way of RNAcentral. Lineage: Eukaryota; Metazoa; Chordata; Mammalia; Rodentia; Caviidae.
GGGGAUUUAGCUCAGCGGCAAUAAGCACCUGCCUUGCAAGCAGGUGGUUGUGGAUUCAAUUCCUG